AGAGUUUGAUCCUGGCUCAGGAUGAACGCUGGCGGCGUGCUUAACACAUGCAAGUCGAACGAUCCUUCGGGAUAGUGGCGGACGGGUGAGUAACGCGUGGGAAUCUGCCCUCAGGAGGGGGAUAACGGCUGGAAACGGCCGCUAAUACCCCAUAUGCCGAGAGGUGAAAUGAAUUUCGCCUGAGGACGAGCCCGCGUCUGAUUAGCUAGUUGGUGGGGUAAAGGCCUACCAAGGCAACGAUCAGUAGCUGGUCUGAGAGGAUGAUCAGCCACACUGGGACUGAGACACGGCCCAGACUCCUACGGGAGGCAGCAGUGGGGAAUUUUCCGCAAUGGGCGAAAGCCUGACGGAGCAACGCCGCGUGAGGGAUGAAGGCCUCUGGGCUGUAAACCUCUUUUCUCAAGGAAGAAGACCUGACGGUACUUGAGGAAUAAGCCACGGCUAAUUCCGUGCCAGCAGCCGCGGUAAUACGGGAGUGGCAAGCGUUAUCCGGAAUUAUUGGGCGUAAAGCGUCCGCAGGCGGCCUUGUAAGUCUGUUGUUAAAGCGUGGAGCUCAACUCCAUUUAAGCAAUGGAAACUACAAGGCUGGAGUGUGGUAGGGGCAGAGGGAAUUCCCGGUGUAGCGGUGAAAUGCGUAGAUAUCGGGAAGAACACCAGUGGCGAAGGCGCUCUGCUGGGCCAUAACUGACGCUCAUGGACGAAAGCCAGGGGAGCGAAAGGGAUUAGAUACCCCUGUAGUCCUGGCCGUAAACGAUGAACACUAGGUGUCGGGGGAAUCGACCCCCUUGGUGUCGUAGCCAACGCGUUAAGUGUUCCGCCUGGGGAGUACGCACGCAAGUGUGAAACUCAAAGGAAUUGACGGGGGCCCGCACAAGCGGUGGAGUAUGUGGUUUAAUUCGAUGCAACGCGAAGAACCUUACCUGGGUUUGACAUCCUGCGAACCCCUGAGAAAUCGGGGGGUGCCUUCGGGAGCGCAGAGACAGGUGGUGCAUGGCUGUCGUCAGCUCGUGUCGUGAGAUGUUGGGUUAAGUCCCGCAACGAGCGCAACCCACGUCUUUAGUUGCCAGCAUUCAGUUGGGCACUCUAGAGAGACCGCCGGUGAUAAACCGGAGGAAGGUGUGGAUGACGUCAAGUCAUCAUGCCCCUUACAUCCUGGGCUACACACGUACUACAAUGCUACGGACAAAGGGCAGCAAGCUCGCGAGAGUUAGCAAAUCCCAUAAACCGUGGCUCGGUUCAGAUCGUAGGCUGCAACUCGCCUACGUGAAGGAGGAAUCGCUAGUAAUCGCAGGUCAGCAUACUGCGGUGAAUACGUUCCCGGGCCUUGUACACACCGCCCGUCACACCAUGGAAGUUGGCCAUGCCCGAAGUCGUUACUCCAACCCUUGUGGAGGAGGACGCCGAAGGUGGGGCUGAUGACUGGGGUGAAGUCGUAACAAGGUA
Molecule: ribosomal RNA, 1443 nt
Filed under: metagenome
Description: bacterial SSU rRNA
Rfam family: Bacterial small subunit ribosomal RNA
Source: RNAcentral